Non-coding RNA from Cinara cedri, 289 nucleotides. The record is from the annotation of a GenBank genome assembly. Lineage: Eukaryota; Metazoa; Arthropoda; Insecta; Hemiptera; Aphididae.
GUGAUGGCAUCCAGCAUUCCGCACCGUAGAGCAGCACGGAGAAUACAUAAUAUCUCACGUGUCUCGUCAUUGUUUCAAGCCAUGACUCUUGAAGAUUGCGCACGUUUUGUCAAAUGCUAUUCUCGCUUUCCCUAUUAGACGUUUAAUUUUUGAGCGUUGUCCCGUCUUUCAUUUAUCACGGUACCUAAAUAGCAAUAUUGUUUCGCUCUUUCUAUCCUAGUUUGAUUGACAUAAAUGCGAGCUCCGUUUAUAGCGGACUUGCUAACGACCGUUUGUUUUGUUUUGUGGA